Molecule: transfer RNA, 69 nt
Filed under: Protopterus annectens (West African lungfish)
Lineage: Eukaryota; Metazoa; Chordata; Ceratodontiformes; Protopteridae
Description: tRNA-Ser
Source: RNAcentral
GAGGGGGGUCGGGGACAUUAAGGCCUGCUAAGCCCUACCUCCACAGUUCAACUCCGUGGCCCACUCAGC